UACGGACGGUGCAAGAGUCACUCGAAAUUAGUGAUCUGAAAUUACAAGUAAUUCCCUAUGCAUGACAGCUAUGAGAUCACCCCACUCCAACUGGGAACUGCAUUUGUAGACUGCAUGCUCUACAUCAUGGGAUAGCAAGCCUUAUUUCCCGGCGUAGCGGCGAAAUGCUAACAUUGGGGAAGAACAUCAGAGGAAUGACGUCUUCUGGCCCUUCAUCUGACGUUCACAGUCGCGAAAGCUCCGUUAGAGCAGAACCGGAUUAAAGACCCUGACAGUCCACGCCCUAUGCGAUCACUACUAGAUGUCGGCAGGCUCUGCCUCUCGCUGUCUGACCUAACGCGUGAAGUUGCCCUCCUGCGGAUCACCCUCACAAGGUUGACCCUCUGAUUAAUUGACGGUCACCCGAUCAAGCGCCGAAGUAUGUGUCUUAAUUCUAUGCAAAACUAAAAACCUUACCUGACCUUGAGAUCUGUGCAACUUGAAAUACAUGCAUUGUUGCCUUCGGGAACCACAAGCCAGGCUGCUGCAUGGCUGUCGUCAGCUCGGGUCGAGAGAAGAUGGGUUAACUCCCACAACGAGCGCAAACAUCGUCGUUAGUCAGCAUCUCUUCUGGUGGGAACUCUAAGGAGACCGCCGGUGCCAAGUCGGAGGAAGGUCGGGAGGACGUCAAGUCCUCAUGGUGCUCUAUGGCCAGGGUUACACUCGCGCUUCAACGGACGAAACAGAGGGUCGCCAUCCCGCGAGCGGGACACACUGCCUCAAAGCCGAUUGUACUCCGGAUCGGAGUGUGCACCUCUACUCCGUGCAGUCGGAAUCGCUCGUAAUCGCGGAUCAGCAAUUCCGCGCAGAAUACGCUACCCGGGUGCU
This 867-nucleotide ribosomal RNA is filed under the name uncultured bacterium. RNAcentral describes it as "SSU rRNA". It matches the Rfam family "Bacterial small subunit ribosomal RNA", at positions 524 to 1382 of the family's 1533-position model. The record is from RNAcentral.